UACGAAGGGGGCUAGCGUUGCUCGGAAUCACUGGGCGUAAAGCGCACGUAGGCGGAUUGCUAAGUCAGGGGUGAAAUCCUGGAGCUCAACUCCAGAACUGCCUUUGAUACUGAGGAUCUUGAGUUCGGGAGAGGUGAGUGGAACUGCGAGUGUAGAGGUGAAAUUCGUAGAUAUUCGCAAGAACACCAGUGGCGAAGGCGGCUCACUGGCCCGAUACUGACGCUGAGGCACGAAAGCGUGGGGAGCAAACAGG
This 253-nucleotide ribosomal RNA is filed under the name uncultured bacterium. RNAcentral describes it as "partial 16S ribosomal RNA". It matches the Rfam family "Bacterial small subunit ribosomal RNA", at positions 524 to 776 of the family's 1533-position model. The record is from RNAcentral.